This is an RNA transcript of Amaranthus tricolor (Joseph's coat), 1977 nucleotides long. RefSeq lists it as uncharacterized. Lineage: Eukaryota; Viridiplantae; Streptophyta; Magnoliopsida; Caryophyllales; Amaranthaceae. The transcript is spliced from 2 exons. The record is from RefSeq and is a predicted model, not a curated record.
CUUAACACUGUUCAUCAAGCUUCCAUAACACUGCUUUUGUGCGCGCCCUUUUUUCCUUCCUUCGCUCAUACUGCUCUCUUCUUCUGCCUUCCUUCUUUCCCAUUCCAAUCUUACCUUCUACCCUAAAUUUCUCCUUUUUUUCUUAAGUUUCUCAUUGGACAAAAGGAAAGGCAAGACAAAAUCAGGCAAGGGUUCAGGCCAGCUCUCUUUCUCCGGCCACCAACUGUGAGUUCCGAUCAUGCCGGUGCUGAGGAUGACUUUGUGUUUUAUUUUGGUUUCUUUUGAACUUUUGGUGAAUUGAAAGAUGAAAUUGGUUUCUUUGGUAAGGAUGACUUCGAUUAUGUUGUUAUAUUGGUUUCUUUUGAAUUUUUGAGAGAUUGAAAUAGAAAUGAUGAAAUUGAGUUCUACCUAUGAAAUGCAGAUCCAAUACCCACAAGAGUCAAGAAUUUGUGAAAAGACCAGAUGUGAUAAUAAAUGCAAAAACACAAAUGUUGUUUUGUAGGAACAGAAGAACAGUGUAAAACCCAUAAACUAUAGAGUACCAGUUAACCAUUACAGAAAUUAUAUUCAAAGAAUAUACCACACCCUCGUAGUUGAGUUUCAACUUUGAGAUACUAUCUAAAAAUUUGAACUUUAAAAUAUUUUUUAAAAAAACUCUUAUCCACUUCCAAAGCUUAAAAACCUUAUAAUGGUUGCUGGCCAUUCCGUUUAUACAAGUAGUAAUUGUGGAAAAAUUGACAAUGAGAAAUCUUGGUUUUUGGAGUCUUAUCAAAAGCAUCUUGGUCAAGCUGCCACAUUUUUGGCUCAUAUAAAGGAGGGUAUUAAUGUUUCUGCAAAGGAUGAUCAAGCAUUGUUGUUGUUUAGUGGGGACGAGACUCGAAAGGAUGCCGGUCCUCGAAGUGAAGCCCAGUUAUUGGCUUAUUGCAGAAUCAAAAGGGUGGUUUGGUGACAAUGAAUAUGUUUACAUCUAUCGAAUAUCGUCGGUUUAAUCUGUCUUGUUUUUACGGUUCUUUUUUAUUUGCUCAAUCAUGAUCUUUGUGUACUUAAUUUACUGAGAUUUGAACAAUUAUUGACCGUAACAAGUAUACAAUCAACAUUUUAGAGAAAUCAUUAUGGUCUGAGUUACAUGGGGAUACUUGCUCAAGUAUUUUUCCAUUGGUACUGCCGUACUGCUAACCUAAGUUUCGGGUUGAUAAAGUAAACAAUUAGGAAGAAAUAGUUCGAAUGAAGACCCAAUAAAUAAUUGCAUAGAGAAUGAAGAUUACAACAAAACCUUUUUUAUUAGGAAUAAAUAAUACUACUUUGGAUGAACACCCAAUAAAUAAUUGUGUAAAGAAUAAAGAUCAAAACGAAACUUAUUUCUCCAUAUCACCAUUACAAUAAAAUGUAGGGAUUGAUUUUCUUUCACAUUCUAGGAGGUGAAUGAAAAAAUACGGGUUGUAUUGAGUUUUUGGGAUUAUGGUGCUUUAGAUAAAGAAUGUUAUGGUGCUUUAGAUUUAGAUUAUCACUAUCUGAACAUGUCACAGGUAAGAUUGAACAAUACUUUUGGUGAAAUUGAUGAUUUUUUAGAAAACAGGUUGGCAACAUUUAUAUAUGUAAUAUGAAGGUAUGAACUUUAAGGAAAAUGUCAUGGAUGGAGUGUAUUAUCUCGAAAAUGGUUAUAUCUUGCAGACUAACAAUGCAACUAUUUGAUUAUGACACUGUCGUUUAUCAUUUUGAUUUCUAUAUUUGCUAAUGCAUAGAUUUGUCUUAUGGAUCAAAGUGUUAUUUAUUGGAAACGUGCAAGAAAUAAAAUUUCUAAGUAGAGGUACGAGCCAAUAAAUGCACACCAAGGUACUUUAUACGGACAAUGCAAUUGUGAUGAAUAACACUACUUUUUCAUAUAUUCAAUUGUGUAUCAUUAAAAUCCUUUUAAUGUUAAUAUAGUCAUAAUUGAAUAUAACUUUUUGAUGUUCUUUUACUUCUCAAAACAAUGAU